GAGUUUGAUCUUGGCUCAGAUUGAACGCUGGCGGCAUGCCUUACACAUGCAAGUCGAACGGCAGCAUGAUCUAGCUUGCUAGAUUGAUGGCGAGUGGCGAACGGGUGAGUAAUACAUCGGAACGUGCCCUGUAGUGGGGGAUAACUAGUCGAAAGAUUAGCUAAUACCGCAUACGACCUGAGGGUGAAAGUGGGGGACCGCAAGGCCUCAUGCUAUAGGAGCGGCCGAUGUCUGAUUAGCUAGUUGGUGGGGUAAAGGCCCACCAAGGCGACGAUCAGUAGCUGGUCUGAGAGGACGAUCAGCCACACUGGGACUGAGACACGGCCCAGACUCCUACGGGAGGCAGCAGUGGGGAAUUUUGGACAAUGGGCGAAAGCCUGAUCCAGCAAUGCCGCGUGUGUGAAGAA
This 407-nucleotide ribosomal RNA is filed under the name uncultured microorganism. RNAcentral's name for it is "bacterial SSU rRNA". It matches the Rfam family "Bacterial small subunit ribosomal RNA", at positions 9 to 412 of the family's 1533-position model. The record is from RNAcentral.